This 76-nucleotide transfer RNA is filed under the name Aminivibrio sp. RNAcentral describes it as "tRNA-Arg". It matches the Rfam family "tRNA". From Rfam's summary of the family: Transfer RNA (tRNA) molecules are approximately 80 nucleotides in length. Their secondary structure includes four short double-helical elements and three loops (D, anti-codon, and T loops). RNAcentral also lists the same sequence under 5 other names. The record is from RNAcentral. Lineage: Bacteria; Thermotogati; Synergistota; Synergistia; Synergistales; Aminobacteriaceae.
GCGCCUGUAGCUCAGCGGAUAGAGUAUCGGCCUCCGGAGCCGAGGGUCUGGCGUUCGAAUCGCCACAGGCGCGCCA